Transfer RNA from Loxodonta africana (African savanna elephant), 82 nucleotides. It matches the Rfam family "tRNA". Rfam says of the family: Transfer RNA (tRNA) molecules are approximately 80 nucleotides in length. Their secondary structure includes four short double-helical elements and three loops (D, anti-codon, and T loops). Further hydrogen bonds mediate the characteristic L-shaped molecular structure. tRNAs have two regions of fundamental functional importance: the anti-codon, which is responsible for specific mRNA codon recognition, and the 3' end, to which the tRNAs corresponding amino acid is attached (by aminoacyl-tRNA synthetases). tRNAs cope with the degeneracy of the genetic code in two manners: having more than one tRNA (with a specific anti-codon) for a particular amino acid; and 'wobble' base-pairing, i.e. permitting non-standard base-pairing at the 3rd anti-codon position. The record is from Rfam. Lineage: Eukaryota; Metazoa; Chordata; Mammalia; Proboscidea; Elephantidae.
GAUGAGGUGGCCAAGUAGUUAAGGCGAUGGACUGCUAAUCCAUAGUGCAUUGCACACGUGGGUUCAAAUCCCAUCCUCGUCG